This 429-nucleotide ribosomal RNA is filed under the name Chloroflexota bacterium. RNAcentral describes it as "Chloroflexi bacterium partial 16S ribosomal RNA". It matches the Rfam family "Bacterial small subunit ribosomal RNA", at positions 355 to 776 of the family's 1533-position model. Lineage: Bacteria; Bacillati; Chloroflexota. The record is from RNAcentral.
UGGGGAAUAUUGCACAAUGGGCGCAAGCCUGAUGCAGCCAUGCCGCGUGUAUGAAGAAGGCCUUCGGGUUGUAAAGUACUUUCAGCGGGGAGGAAGGGAGUAAAGUUAAUACCUUUGCUCAUUGACGUUACCCGCAGAAGAAGCACCGGCUAACUCCGUGCCAGCAGCCGCGGUAAUACGGAGGGUGCAAGCGUUAAUCGGAAUUACUGGGCGUAAAGCGCACGCAGGCGGUUUGUUAAGUCAGAUGUGAAAUCCCCGGGCUCAACCUGGGAACUGCAUCUGAUACUGGCAAGCUUGAGUCUCGUAGAGGGGGGUAGAAUUCCAGGUGUAGCGGUGAAAUGCGUAGAGAUGUGGAGGAAUACCGGUGGCGAACGCGGCCCCCUGGACAAAGACUGACGCUCAGGUGCGAAAGCGUGGGGAGCAAACAGG